UUUCUCUUCCGCAAGGACAACCUCCCCGUAGGGGGAAACCUGGCGGAAGGGACUCACUUGUCCGAGACCUUGGCAAAAGCAGACCCGGCGCACACUGUGUAUAACAACGCUCCGGGGCGGUGGCCCCGAACCCCCCCCGUCGGCGCUCGCGCGCCGCUCGGGCUAACAAACCUCGGGCGCGGAAUGCGCCAAGAAAAACUGAAAAGGAACGUCGGCCCCGGCCGCCCGGUUCGCGGAUCGCGUCGGGGGCAGAACGCCUGUCGUAAUACCAAAACGACUCUCGGCAACGAAUAUCUCGGCUCUCGCAUCGAUGAAGAACGUAGCGAAAUGCAAUACUUGGUGUGAAUUGCAGAAUCCCGUGAACCAUCGAGUCUUUGAACGCAAGUGGCGCCCGAAGCGGUCAGGCCGAGGGCACGUCUGCCUGGGCGUCACGCAUGGCGUCGCCCCCCCUCCAAAGGCGUGGGGGGGCGGAGAAUGGCCUCCCGUGCGCCUCGGCGCGCGGCCGGUCCAAAUGCGUUCCCCCGGCGACGCACGUCGCGACCAGUGGUGGUUGAUCUUCAACUCGCGUGCUGUCGCGGCGUCGUCCGUGCGGGGAACUCGUAACAAGACCCAAAGGGCGCACUCUCGCGGUGCGCCUCCGACCGCGACCCCAGGUCAUUC
RNAcentral lists this ribosomal RNA (660 nucleotides) under Ajuga sp. d3. RNAcentral's name for it is "eukaryotic LSU rRNA". The stretch from base 276 to 431 matches the Rfam family "5.8S ribosomal RNA". The record is from RNAcentral. Lineage: Eukaryota; Viridiplantae; Streptophyta; Magnoliopsida; Lamiales; Lamiaceae.